RNAcentral lists this non-coding RNA (64 nucleotides) under Pediococcus stilesii. Its description in RNAcentral is "Fluoride sequence". It matches the Rfam family "Fluoride riboswitch aptamer (crcB RNA motif)". The record is from Rfam by way of RNAcentral. Lineage: Bacteria; Bacillati; Bacillota; Bacilli; Lactobacillales; Lactobacillaceae.
AAUUGAAUAGGCGAUGACGUUCGCCGUAAAUAAUUGAUAAUAAUUUGAUGACGUCUAUUACUUU